Molecule: ribosomal RNA, 305 nt
Filed under: uncultured bacterium
Lineage: Bacteria
Description: bacterial SSU rRNA
Rfam family: Bacterial small subunit ribosomal RNA
Source: RNAcentral
UCAGUCCUACGGGAGGCAGCAGUGGGGAAUAUUGCACAAUGGGGGGAACCCUGAUGCAGCGACGCCGCGUGGGCGAUGGAGUAUUUCGGUAUGUAAAGCCCUAUCGGCAGGGAAGAAGCUGACAGUACCUGACUAAGAAGCCCCGGCUAACUACGUGCCAGCAGCCGCGGUAAUACGUAGGGGGCAAGCGUUAUCCGGAUUUACUGGGUGUAAAGGGAGCGUAGACGGCGAAGAAAGUCUGAAGUGAAAGCCCGCGGCUCAACCGCGGAACUGCUUUGGAAACUUUUUUGCUGGAGUACCGGAGG